CAGAGGUUGUCGGGAAAAAAAACUAACAUAUACAGACCGAAAAACUGUUCAAGUUACUGAAAUUUUUUGUGGAUUCAUAGAGAGAGCGCAGCAGCUACGAGACGGACGGGGAAGAUCGGGAAGGAGGAGGAGGAGAGCAAGAUGAUGACCGGCGGGAGGAACUACAGACGACUAUCAAUCGACAGCCAGAAAGUCUCUGGAUCUGUCUGUACCCCACGACGGCUCUUCUCAAGAGAGAGAGGUGUGAAGAUAUCACCGAGUCAUCAUCUUCUUAUCUGCUUCCCUAAAACGUUGUGUGAGGCCGUUUGGAGUUUCUCUAGUAGUGGCUGGGUAUGAUGACAAGGGUCCACAGUUGUAUCAGGUGGAUCCGUCUAGCUCUUAUUUCUCAUGGAAAGCUUCGGCAAUGGGAAAGAAUGUUUCGAAUGCUAAAACAUUUCUUGAGAAGAGGUG
Long non-coding RNA from Brassica oleracea var. oleracea, 450 nucleotides. RefSeq lists it as uncharacterized. The transcript has 4 exons. The record is from RefSeq and is a predicted model, not a curated record. Lineage: Eukaryota; Viridiplantae; Streptophyta; Magnoliopsida; Brassicales; Brassicaceae.